This 841-nucleotide ribosomal RNA is filed under the name Propionibacteriaceae bacterium. Its description in RNAcentral is "bacterial SSU rRNA". It matches the Rfam family "Bacterial small subunit ribosomal RNA", at positions 1 to 857 of the family's 1533-position model. Lineage: Bacteria; Bacillati; Actinomycetota; Actinomycetes; Propionibacteriales; Propionibacteriaceae. The record is from RNAcentral.
UCAACGGAGAGUUUGAUCCUGGCUCAGGACGAACGCUGGCGGCGUGCUUAACACAUGCAAGUCGAACGAUGAACCACUUCGGUGGGGAUUAGUGGCGAACGGGUGAGUAACACGUGGGCAAUCUGCCCUUCACUCUGGGACAAGCCCUGGAAACGGGGUCUAAUACCGGAUACGACCUGCCAAGGCAUCUUGGCGGGUGGAAAGCUCCGGCGGUGAAGGAUGAACCCGCGGCCUAUCAGCUAGUUGGUGAGGUAACGGCUCACCAAGGCGACGACGGGUAGCCGGCCUGAGAGGGCGACCGGCCACACUGGGACUGAGACACGGCCCAGACUCCUACGGGAGGCAGCAGUGGGGAAUAUUGCACAAUGGGCGAAAGCCUGAUGCAGCGACGCCGCGUGAGGGAUGACGGCCUUCGGGUUGUAAACCUCUUUCAGCAGGGAAGAAGCGAAAGUGACGGUACCUGCAGAAGAAGCGCCGGCUAACUACGUGCCAGCAGCCGCGGUAAUACGUAGGGCGCAAGCGUUAUCCGGAAUUAUUGGGCGUAAAGAGCUCGUAGGCGGUUUGUCGCGUCUGCUGUGAAAGCCCGGGGCUCAACCCCGGGUCUGCAGUGGGUACGGGCAGACUAGAGUGCGGUAGGGGAGAUUGGAAUUCCUGGUGUAGCGGUGGAAUGCGCAGAUAUCAGGAGGAACACCGAUGGCGAAGGCAGUUCUCUGGGCCUUUCUUGACGCUGAGAAGCGAAAGCGUGGGGAGCAAACAGGCUUAGAUACCCUGGUAGUCCACGCUGUAAACGGUGGGUACUAGGUGUGGGGACCAUUCCACGGUCUCUGUGCCGCAGCUAACG